This 468-nucleotide ribosomal RNA is filed under the name uncultured bacterium. Its description in RNAcentral is "partial 16S ribosomal RNA". It matches the Rfam family "Bacterial small subunit ribosomal RNA", at positions 28 to 507 of the family's 1533-position model. The record is from RNAcentral.
GACGAACGCUGGCGGCGUGCUUAACACAUGCAAGUCGAACGGAAAGGCCCUGCUUUUGUGGGGUGCUCGAGUGGCGAACGGGUGAGUAACACGUGAGUAACCUGCCCUUGACUUUGGGAUAACUUCAGGAAACUGGGGCUAAUACCGGAUAGGAGCUCCUGCUGCAUGGGGGGGGUUGGAAAGUUUCGGCGGUUGGGGAUGGACUCGCGGCUUAUCAGCUUGUUGGUGGGGUAGUGGCUUACCAAGGCUUUGACGGGUAGCCGGCCUGAGAGGGUGACCGGCCACCUUGGGCCUGAGAUACGCAGCAGACUCCUACGGGAGGCAGCAGUCGGGAGUAUUGCACAAUGGGCGGAAGCCUGAUGCAGCGACGCCGCGUGCGGGAUGCCGGCCUUCGAGUUGUAAACCGCUUUCGCCUGUGACGAAGCGUGCGUGACGGUAAUGGGUAAAGAAGCACCGGCUAACUACGUG